UGCUUCAAGCGUUUUUUCAUAUUUCCUGAAUUAUUAACAUUUGAAAUUAUAGCUUCAUUGAUUUAAAGACAAAAGUAGAAAUGCACAGAGAGAAUAAAUGAAGGGUAGAGAAAAAGAGAUGAAGAGGAGAAGAAUGAUAGAUAGGCUAUAUGUAUGUGUAUGAGUGAGGAGAGAGAGAAGGGUGAAGAUAGGAAGAGAGAAUGAGCAUACAGAGAGCUUACAAACUGUUAAUACUCCUGGGAAAAAUGUGUUCAUUUCGUCAAAGCGAUAACAUUUACACCUCAUCUACGAAUUUCACGAUACUGACAAGUUUAUGUUUAUAUGACACUGACAAAUAUAUGGUUAUGAGAUUGGGUUGUCGAAGACGACUGUGAUCCUCAAGCCAAGGCCCCCUGAGGAAUCAAGUGUUUUAUGGGACGCGGCAGGACCAACAAAGAGCUGUUAAAUCCCCCUUUACGAGCGAGAGACCAGUUUGUGCAAACUACUUUAUAAGUUUAUGGCUUUCCCUGCAAGUUUAUUUGGUCAACCAGGGCAGGUUCGCUUUUCGUCUCAUUCACGAACAGAACGAAACUCAGAGCAGACGAAAUUUUUCGGGUGAUUGGGAGGGAACACGACCAAGACCAAGACACCAUGGCCGAGCCUAACGAGGGAAAGACUGAAUGGCCAGAGCUGCAAGGCAAGAAAUAUGACGAGGCGGAGAAGGUCAUCAAGGAAGAAAACCCUUCCUUAGAGAUUCAGAAAGUUCUCCCUGGACAGCCAAUGUCUCGAGACUUCCGGCCGUCGCGCGUGCGCAUUCUGGUGGACGAGGAUGACGUAGUAACGCGGACGCCUUCCAUUGGCUAACCAAAACUCUUCAUAGAUGCCUGUUGAGAAAGACCCUGGUCAGCAAGUAAACAAACCGUUGUCGAUAUAAACAACACAUUCUUUUAUGCGCAGAAGCUAUGUGGCUGAAGUUUCUUGGAUACAAAUAUCCCGUUGUACGUAGAUAUCAAUAAGUAAAGUGAAUAAUUAGCUCUGACCAUCUCUUGAUGGACCGCAAAUAUGUGAAGGAAGUAUAGACAGAGUGAUGAGAGUGUUAUAGUUACAUAAGCCCCUGUGGUCUAUUGCAAUAUUAUUGAAGCAGCAUUAACAUCGACGGUUUCUUGUUUGUGUCAGCUGAUUUUUUUUUUGCAACCUUCGCCUGAAACCAUUCCAGACCCAUGCCACAGAUACGCAGAUAGCGGCAGUCUUCACACAGAAGCAUAAGCAUGUAGGACUUUCAUUGGAUGAUUUGUUUUUAGGGACUUUGUUUUGAGGCGCCACAACUUGACCGUUGCUCUGCUUUUUACCCACUGUCCUCUAAAAUGUUUAUCUUUGUUAUUGUCGCUAUUUUUACUACUAGUGUGUAACAAAAAAUAUAACCACCGAUAUGGCAUUAAUCAAACACCACUACUUCGUUAUCGCACCAAAUUAAUAAUGUGUGUCCAAAAUGGGGUCUCGAUAUCAAUAGGGUUUCUUAACAUUUUUUGUCAAUUCAUUUAUUUGUAUUUUUAACAAUCGUAUUUGUAGGAAAUAAAUGCUUCAAUGCAA
This 1569-nucleotide long non-coding RNA is filed under the name Pomacea canaliculata. RNAcentral describes it as "uncharacterized LOC112559323, transcript variant X1". The record is from RNAcentral. Lineage: Eukaryota; Metazoa; Mollusca; Gastropoda; Architaenioglossa; Ampullariidae.